Molecule: long non-coding RNA, 1197 nt
Filed under: Homo sapiens (human)
Lineage: Eukaryota; Metazoa; Chordata; Mammalia; Primates; Hominidae
Description: HSALNT0264194
Source: RNAcentral
ACUGCAGUAUAUGAAGAAAUCUGGCCUCCCACAGAGACGGAUUUGGAAACAAGAGGACUACACAGACCCUCUGACAGUCUCUUGGGGGACACAAUGGCUUGCCAAGGGAUCCUUGAUACACACUUCGAGAACCACUUGCAUAGACCAUCACCAUCAUCCUGGAAGGUUUUUUCAGAGAGGACCACUACUCUGACUUCCUUCAAGAUUAGCAUUGCCUUUCCUUGAUCUUCAUGUAUGUGGAAUCAUAAGUGACAUGCUGCUUUGAAAUAAAGGACAUUUGAAAAUAGAAACAUGGACCUAUGAAGAUAUAAAUCGGAUGAAGAUUCUGAAGUGCCCUGAUGUUACUAUUUAUGUCUGCUUAGAUAUUCCAACUAAAUGGAAGGUCACUGGGAGGGGAUUUGGUCAACUCUGUAGAUAUAUGAGAAGCAUCUUCCAAAUGAAUUCUUGUGACAAAAUUAAUUUAACCCACAGACUAUACUGUGAUUUCCUUCUUCUUCUUACUUCUAUAUUUUGGCGUUAAGCUUCAUUUUGGUGAGGAUGGAUAUAAUAACACCAAAGAAUUAAAUCUUUCUGUGUAAAUUUGGGAUGGUUGGUUCCCUCUGCCCAGAUAUUUUUUAUGCCUAAAGUAUAGUAAUACUCUAAUAGAGAAAUGAAGAAAUGGAGAAAAAUAUACAAACAUGAAACUAUGACACAAACAGUAUUCAAAAGGGAUGACAGUGAAACAUUAUCAGCACUGGAAAUUAAAUACUUCCAAGUUCGGUAAAUAGUAGCAAAUGAUUCUCUGUGCUUGUCCCCCUUUAGCUUCUGAAGAAAGUAUUGACCACGGUGUAGAAGGAAGAAUCAUAGGACAUUACAAGACUAUUCCAACAGCUAAGUUCUUAUAUGAGUUGGGUGACCAUUCAUUCUCAUUUGUCUGAGGCAAUUCCAGUUUAUGCCUGUAGUCCUAGAUAUUAUAAACAGAGCUGCCUUUCACUCUCAAAACUAUCCUGGUAUGGACAAUAAAUUAUAUGACCACCUUACUUAUGAGGAGUGAUUAGGGUCUUUGGCAGAUGGGACUUAGCAGAGAGCAUGACAAGAGUCAUCGUGUAAGGUUUCUACAUGCACAGCACAGCUCCAUCAUUAAAAACCACCAACCAACUUUCAGCGAGCGCUUUAAAAAUUAAUUGGAGUCAUAUUAACAUUUGUGAGUGACCUGAC